UGGCAAGAGUUUCGGGACCACGUGAGGU
RNAcentral lists this non-coding RNA (28 nucleotides) under Mus musculus (house mouse). The record is from RNAcentral. Lineage: Eukaryota; Metazoa; Chordata; Mammalia; Rodentia; Muridae.